Molecule: ribosomal RNA, 493 nt
Filed under: uncultured bacterium
Lineage: Bacteria
Description: partial 16S ribosomal RNA
Rfam family: Bacterial small subunit ribosomal RNA
Source: RNAcentral
AGUGAACGCUGGCGGUAGGCCUAACACAUGCAAGUCGAACGGCAGCACAGUAAGAGCUUGCUCUUACGGGUGGCGAGUGGCGGACGGGUGAGGAAUACAUCGGAAUCUACUUUUUCGUGGGGGAUAACGUAGGGAAACUUACGCUAAUACCGCAUACGACCUACGGGUGAAAGCAGGGGAUCUUCGGACCUUGCGCGAUUGAAUGAGCCGAUGUCGGAUUAGCUAGUUGGCGGGGUAAAGGCCCACCAAGGCGACGAUCCGUAGCUGGUCUGAGAGGAUGAUCAGCCACACUGGAACUGAGACACGGUCCAGACUCCUACGGGAGGCAGCAGUGGGGAAUAUUGGACAAUGGGCGCAAGCCUGAUCCAGCCAUACCGCGUGGGUGAAGAAGGCCUUCGGGUUGUAAAGCCCUUUUGUUGGGAAAGAAAAGCAGCAGGUUAAUACCCCGCUGUUCUGACGGUACCCAAAGAAUUAAGCACCGGCUAACUUCGUG